GCCGUCUACAGAGUGUAGAUGACUUGCACUAUAUGUAACAAUUCUCCAAAAGAGUAUGCACUAUUACGAACAACAAAGUCCACUUUCCUUUAGCAUAAACAAAUUUCAAGUAGUAAUGAUUUCCAUAUUGCUAUAGAGUAGCCAACAUAAACUCAUUUAUUCUUCUUAGAUAAAAGUAGUUCUUCAUAAAGCCAUUAACUAAACAUAUAGUAAGCAAGAAAGGUAAUUGGAGAUGAAGCAUGACAAUUUGAAACUAUGAACGAACACUAAGCCUUAAACAUUUCUAGGAGAAAGCCGCAGAUAAUCAUAGUCGUAUUGAUAGAAAAACCUCAUCCCCGUAUAGACUAAGGAUCCCAUAUCACACAUACACACAGAGAAGUUAAUACAUCAAAUUGACCUUCUCGAUUCACAUAUCCAAUCAAAAUUAGUAGCUUCCAGCAAAACUAUCGGAUUCAAAAAUCCUCAGUACUAUAGAAGAGAAACAUCCACUUGUUUUAUUGCAUACCAAAAGCAUAAAGAUAUAAUUCAAGAAUUGUUGAAUUGAGAAAGAGAUGGCCAAAAAGAGGCUUUCAACAGAUCUACACGCACAAAUAGAGAAGGUGAAAGAGAAGCAAGAUGUAAUACAUCUCCAAACUAAAUAUAGGCAAUAAACGAUAUUUUCCCAGAUGAAAUCAACAACAAAAAAUAAGAAGAACAAAGACACAAGAGAGAGAAUAAAAAGGAAUUACCAUGUGGAGGUACUUGUCCUCAUCAACAACCCUCGUGUUUUCAAGCUUAAUGUUGAGAUAUUGAUCAACUGAAUGUAGUGUUCCUCGAAUAGCCAAAUCGUUCUUCAAUUCCACAGUCACUUCUCUGCCCACCAGAUCCUUGAAGUAUGAAAAAAAAACUACUGAAAAACACAAUGGGCCAGGGGAAAAACCAAGUUAGAACAUAGACCAAAUAAACUCAUGAGAAAAAAACUUAAAUAAGAAUUAAUUCAAAUAAGGAAAAUAAUUCUACUCUAGAACACUCGAAGAAAACAAAGCAGACAUCAAUUGUAUACAAAGUAGGCAUGAAUAAAGAAAAACAUACAACAAUAAGAAAGAGGGAUCAACGAACAAUACCAUUUUUAUCUCCCAGGGAGUAUCACACUGUGUUCUCCAUAUACUCGGCAGCUAUCUGCUUAAAAAAAAAAAAACUGAAAAUUUUCAGCCUUUCUUAUAACACAGUACGACAACAACAACACACCUAGUUAGUAAUAUUAUAAAAGCUCAUAAUACUCUGAGGGGUUUGGAGGUGAGAUAUGCAAGUAUUAAAUCACGAACAAGUUACCCUCGACUUUUUGAGAAUCUUCAAGAGCUCUAUGGACUUCCUCAUCAAUAUCCCUAUGUUCCAAGACCCUACUCUCCGCCCAUCAUCUCCCUUAACCCCCUUACCACCCCGAACCCUCGCCCCCAACCUAUAAACUAAAACUCAAAAUAGCACACUAUAACACACCUAAAAUCCCAUUUGUUUAGACUAAAUUGCAUAUAAAGGGGAUGUUAUUCAAAUACUUAUUUCGGUUGAUUAGGAAAUGAAAUCAGCAGUAAAUUUUGACUUCCUAUAAUCCCAAAUUCCAGAAAAUAACAACAAAAAUGAAGAAAAACAAAGCAUCUUCCACGAACUUAUUUAUUUCUCCUAAUCUUAAAUAUUAACAAAACUUGAUUAUUUCCAGCAUAGUAUACCAUCACAACUUAAAAUGCAAUCUAUUACAAAAGACGUCAAACUUAGAUAAAAGUAGUUCUUCAUAAAGCCAUUAACUAAACAUAUAGUAAGCAAAGAAAGGUAAUUGGAGAUGAAGCAUGACAAUAUGGAGAAACAUGCUACAUUUUGU
This 1852-nucleotide long non-coding RNA is filed under the name Solanum tuberosum (potato). Its description in RNAcentral is "long non-coding RNA (STUB_LNC002455)". Lineage: Eukaryota; Viridiplantae; Streptophyta; Magnoliopsida; Solanales; Solanaceae. The record is from RNAcentral.